AACAAUGGAUCUCUUGGUUCCGGCAUCGAUGAAGAACGCAGCGAAAUGCGAUAACUAAUGUGAAUUGCAGAAUUCAGUGAAUCAUCGAGUCUUUGAACGCACAUUGCGCCCCCUGGUAUUCCGGGGGGCAUGCCUGUCCGAGCGUCAUUGCUGCCCUC
RNAcentral lists this ribosomal RNA (158 nucleotides) under Aspergillus niger. Its description in RNAcentral is "5.8S ribosomal RNA". It matches the Rfam family "5.8S ribosomal RNA". From Rfam's summary of the family: 5.8S ribosomal RNA (5.8S rRNA) is a component of the large subunit of the eukaryotic ribosome. It is transcribed by RNA polymerase I as part of the 45S precursor that also contains 18S and 28S rRNA. The record is from RNAcentral. RNAcentral also lists the same sequence under 2 other names. Lineage: Eukaryota; Fungi; Ascomycota; Eurotiomycetes; Eurotiales; Aspergillaceae.